RNAcentral lists this microRNA (20 nucleotides) under Corchorus olitorius. Its description in RNAcentral is "bta-miR-24". Lineage: Eukaryota; Viridiplantae; Streptophyta; Magnoliopsida; Malvales; Malvaceae. The record is from RNAcentral.
AAAAACUUUUCUUUUUUUUU